UGUGUCCCUCACAAAAUGUCCACUACGAAACGAAGUCAUUAAAAUUUGCCAAUAAACAGUUUUAUAAAAUCAAUGUAAUUUUUGUUUGCAAGAGAUAUAAACAUUAGGGUCUUACAAAAGAAGUGAUGCUUUUAUAACGGCAAUUAAAUUGUUGGUAAGAAAAAUUGAGCACAUCAAAUGGACCAGAGUGAUACCGUAUUUUUGAUAAUGUCCACUACGAAACGGGUCAAAUCUCCUUCAGUAUCUGGUUUUAAAAUUAUGAAAAAAAUAUCAGUGUACAGCUUGAUAAAUGCUUUGAUGAAUACAAUCAGUCUUGUUACUAUUGCAAUAUAGGGAUUGUGGGGAAAAAAUAAAACAUGCGAAUACGUCCCUUACGAAACGGUCCCCUACGAAACAAGUAUGGGAGAAAAACGUUUCGUAGUGGACACUACCACUACCAUGGAGUCUUUUUUUAAUCUUUUUUCAAUUAUAUUCGUGCAAAACAAAUAACAAGGGUUAGUUUCAUGUAAUUUUUAUUAUGUUUUUAUUAACAUAUAAUAGGUUGAUGUCAACUACGAAACUUUUUGUCCACUACGAAACGGUUUUGUCCACUACGAAACGCAUCAAAAUGUCCACUACGUAACAUGAGUUGAACUUCAUAUGUGAAGUACUGUCUAAUCUUUAUCGAUAAAAAAUGGUUUUCCAAUUCAGAAAAAAUUAUAUUUUUCUAGUAUUUAAAGUAAACAAACUGGAAUGUCUAUAGGAAAC
Molecule: long non-coding RNA, 747 nt
Filed under: Mytilus galloprovincialis (Mediterranean mussel)
Lineage: Eukaryota; Metazoa; Mollusca; Bivalvia; Mytilida; Mytilidae
Source: RNAcentral